AUGUUGUGUUGGAAGCAAAGUUGUUUGACGGCAAUAUUCAAGGUUUUCCAGGUUUUCUCGCGGCUAGUUUGAUAUAUUUCGUGUGCAUUUGGUCAAUUGUGGUCAAAAGAAUGUGUUAUUUAAAUUAAGUGAAAAUCAUCGACAUGGAUAAACGGGAGAUCCGAACGUUUUUCCUGGAUUUUUCACUGAAGUGUCAGUUUGAUUUUCGAUGGUGACGGCAAAGCAAAAUAAGAAGAAGAGUGGAUUUCAGGCCAUGGAAUUCAGCAUGCCGAUUCUGACUGCAAUCCUUAAUAUGGGAUAUGUACAAAGUGCCUACUUCCAGUACAGGGUGAUCCGAUCGUUUGGUAUGUUCGCGGAUUUCGACGACGACGGCAAUGAAGAAAAAGGACGCAUGCGGAUCCUGAAGGCAAUUCUUAAAAAUGUGAUGCAAAGUGCCACUUCAAAUCCUUCGCCCGGGUUUUUGCAUUCCGCUGUUCGAGAAACUAAAACGACGAGCGAUCAAGUUCUCCAUGGAACGUUAAUAUUGGCUCACGAUGAGAAAUUUUCGGAUCUUAAAACGAUUCUACCACUUGCUGCCGAAUGUGAUCGUUUCUAUGCCAAAGUUCAGCGGUGUUGCACUGUGCGUUUGACGAAGGGGACCUCUUUUCGUGAUGGGUUGCGGCGAGACGGAGACACAUUGUGAAAGUUGCCCCAAACGAAACAGAUGGUCUGGUUCUCCCCAAGCUGUUGGUCGACUUUAAGAAGGAAGGCUUGAGCGAACUAACGCUUAUCCGAUUGGAGAAUAAUGUAAUGAAUAAGACUAAGGCCGGAGUGGCCUGUGCUACACAUAAAAGUCUUCUCCAUUCAGCUCGGUCCAUGGCUGCACUUCGCCAACCACGCAGUCUACGGAGGCUCCGCAAAUCGUCCUCCGCCUGAUCGAUCCACCUUGCCCGCUGUGCACCUCGCCUUCUUGUUCCCGUCGGAUCGUUGUCGAGAACCAUUUUCACCGGAUUACUGUCCGACAUUCUGGCUACGUGGAGGCUGAAGAUGGAGUGGCAUCUGAAUUGUUUUCUUUUCGCUCGGUCCAUAACUGCACGUCAUCUUCCUGAUCGUUAUUCUCAAGUCCGUCAAAGAGCGGGCGUAACCGCCUGAAGUCUAAUAAAUCAUCGACUGUACCAGUACCAGUACCAGUUCUAGAUGGCUUGCAUAUUUUAAGUGAUAGGCUGCUCACCUUUUGGCAUGCCGAUUUACCUGAUGGGCGUUCAUGUUCAGGAUUACUCGCUUCCUCCGAUCAUUACAAUUAAUUGGUUCGGAAGGACCGUUCAGGACAACAAAUCAUACGAUCAGACAUGGGCAGCUCCUUAGCAUACACUGCCAAGACUUCCAGUCGACGACCAAUGUCACCGGUUUGUGAGUGAUGGCCACCGACAUUGAAAUUCAAUCUAUGGACAUAAAAUUAAUUUUCUAUGUUUGAAUUCUGCAAAAUAGAAAAAUAAUAAAAUUAUUAUAUGUGCAACAUCAAUAAAAAUUAAGCCAU
Long non-coding RNA from Armigeres subalbatus, 1516 nucleotides. RefSeq lists it as uncharacterized. The transcript has 4 exons. The record is from RefSeq and is a predicted model, not a curated record. NCBI's taxonomy places the organism in Eukaryota, Metazoa, Arthropoda, Insecta, Diptera, Culicidae.